GACCAGCGGAGGGAUCAUUACCGAGUUUACAACUCCCAAACCCCUGUGAACAUACCUUAAUGUUGCCUCGGCGGAUCAGCCCGCGCCCCGUAAAACGGGACGGCCCGCCAGAGGACCCAAACUCUAAUGUUUCUUAUUGUAACUUCUGAGUAAAACAAACAAAUAAAUCAAAACUUUCAACAACGGAUCUCUUGGUUCUGGCAUCGAUGAAGAACGCAGCAAAAUGCGAUAAGUAAUGUGAAUUGCAGAAUUCAGUGAAUCAUCGAAUCUUUGAACGCACAUUGCGCCCGCUGGUAUUCCGGCGGGCAUGCCUGUUCGAGCGUCAUUUCAACCCUCAAGCCCCCGGGUUUGGUGUUGGGGAUCGGCUCUGCCUUCUGGCGGUGCCGCCCCCGAAAUACAUUGGCGGUCUCGCUGCAGCCUCCAUUGCGUAGUAGCUAACACCUCGCAACUGGAACGCGGCGCGGCCAUGCCGUAAAACCCCAACUUCUGAAUGUUGACCUCGGAUCAGGUAGGAAUACCCGCUGAACUUAAGCAUAU
This 537-nucleotide ribosomal RNA is filed under the name Fusarium sp. 1.3. Its description in RNAcentral is "eukaryotic LSU rRNA". The stretch from base 172 to 325 matches the Rfam family "5.8S ribosomal RNA". Lineage: Eukaryota; Fungi; Ascomycota; Sordariomycetes; Hypocreales; Nectriaceae. The record is from RNAcentral.